AACGCAGAGUAGGCCUUCGGGUCUAUUGCUGAGUAGCAAACGGGUGAGUAACGCGUGGGAAUCCGCCUUCUUGUGGGGGAUAACUGAGGGAAACUUCAGCUAAUACCGCAUACGCUCUACGGAGGAAAGGCCUUACGGUCUUUCAGUUAUCAGUAGUCAGUAAUCAGUAAUCAGAAGAAAAAAUUUGGGGUGAGGCAGUUGUGCCUCAUGCUCAAGGAAAUUCUGAUCACUGAUUACUGAUCACUGAUUACUGGAAGCGACCCUAGGUCGCGAGAAGAGGAGCCCGCGUCAGAUUAGGUAGUUGGUAGGGUAAAAGCCUACCAAGCCAAUGAUCUGUAGCUGGUCUGAGAGGAUGAUCAGCCACACUGGGACUGAGACACGGCCCAGACUCCUACGGGAGGCAGCAGUGGGGAAUAUUGGACAAUGGGGGAAACCCUGAUCCAUCAAUGCCGCGUGAAUGAAGAAGGCCUUACGGUUGUAAAGUUCUUUCACCUGUGAAGAUAAUGACGGUGGCAGGAGAAGGAGCCCCGGCUAACUCCGUGCCAGCAGCCGCGGUAAGACGGAGGGGGCUAGCGUUGUUCGGAAUGACUGGGUGUAAAGGGCGCGUAUGCGGUAUUUUAAGUGAGGCGUGAAAGCCCUGGGCUUAGCCCAGGAGGUGCGUUUCAUACUGAAAUACUAGAGUGCGAGAGAGGAAAGUGGAAUUCCUAGUGUAGAGGUGAAAUUCGUAGAUAUUAGGAAGAACACCACAGGCGAAUGCGGCUUUCUGGCUCGCAACUGACACUGAUGCGCGAAAGCGUGGGGAGCAAACACGAUUAGAUACCCUGGUAGUCCACGCUGUACACGAUGAGUGCUAGACGUUCGGAGUUAAAACUUCAGUGUCGCAGCUAACGCAAUAAG
Molecule: ribosomal RNA, 897 nt
Filed under: uncultured Gammaproteobacteria bacterium
Lineage: Bacteria; Pseudomonadati; Pseudomonadota; Gammaproteobacteria
Description: bacterial SSU rRNA
Rfam family: Bacterial small subunit ribosomal RNA
Source: RNAcentral